This 234-nucleotide ribosomal RNA is filed under the name uncultured bacterium. Its description in RNAcentral is "partial 16S ribosomal RNA". It matches the Rfam family "Bacterial small subunit ribosomal RNA", at positions 118 to 351 of the family's 1533-position model. The record is from RNAcentral.
UGAGUAACCUGCCCUUAACUCUGGGAUAAGCCUGGGAAACUGGGUCUAAUACCGGAUAUGACUCCUCAUCGCAUGGUGGGGGGUGGAAAGCUUUUUGUGGUUUUGGAUGGACUCGCGGCCUAUCAGCUUGUUGGUGAGGUAAUGGCUCACCAAGGCGACGACGGGUAGCCGGCCUGAGAGGGUGACCGGCCACACUGGGACUGAGACACGGCCCAGACUCCUACGGGGAGGCAG